GCAGUAGCCACGGGAAUACGAAGGGGGCUAGCGUUGUUCGGAUUUACUGGGCGUAAAGCGCACGUAGGCGGACUUUUAAGUCAGGGGUGAAAUCCCGGGGCUCAACCCCGGAACUGCCUUUGAUACUGGGAGUCUUGAAUUCGAGAGAGGUGAGUGGAAUUGCGAGUGUAGAGGUGAAAUUCGUAGAUAUUCGCAGGAACACCAGUGGCGAAGGCGGCCCACUGGCUCGAUACUGACGCUGAGGUGCGAAAGCGUGGGGAGCAAACAGGAUUAGAUACCCCCGUAGUCCCUGUCUCUUAUAC
RNAcentral lists this ribosomal RNA (302 nucleotides) under uncultured bacterium. Its description in RNAcentral is "partial 16S ribosomal RNA". It matches the Rfam family "Bacterial small subunit ribosomal RNA", at positions 508 to 807 of the family's 1533-position model. The record is from RNAcentral.